CAGUAGCCACGGGAAUACGAAGGGGGCUAGCGUUGUUCGGAUUAACUGGGCGUAAAGGGCGCGUAGGCGGGUUUUUAAGUCAGAGGUGAAAUCCCAAGGCUCAACCUUGGAACUGCCUUUGAUACUGGAAGUCUUGAGUCCGGGAGAGGUGAGUGGAACUGCGAGUGUAGAGGUGAAAUUCGUAGAUAUUCGGAAGAACACCAGUGGCGAAGGCGACUGACUGGACAAGUAUUGACGCUGAGGUGCGAAAGCGUGGGGAGCAAACAGGAUUAGAUACCCCCGUAGUCCCUGUCUCUUAUAC
This 301-nucleotide ribosomal RNA is filed under the name uncultured bacterium. Its description in RNAcentral is "partial 16S ribosomal RNA". It matches the Rfam family "Bacterial small subunit ribosomal RNA", at positions 509 to 807 of the family's 1533-position model. The record is from RNAcentral.